UGCCAGAAGACCACGAUUCAGUGGAACAGAAUUUGGAAACCCCUGAAUUUCAUCUCAAAGGUCUCGAGAAGUCUGUGAAGUAUCCACCUGGGAACAAUAGAGAACAAACUGUGUUCCCUGCCGUGAUAAGGAUCUGGGUUACUAGCCAAGUAUAAUCACAUUUCUUAUUUUGGACAAUAAGCCACCGUGUCACUGCCUGGAGCUGUCUGCCAUGAUAAUGGUCACUGAUGAAGGACAGAAAAAGGUUUUCAGUGUGAAGACGCAGUGAUCCCAGGCUCUCCUGGCAACAGAGUGGGAACUCCGUCAGGACUCAUGUCACCGCACCAGCUUCCAGGACUCAACUGGUCAGUCCACCAUGGCUGCUCUUUAAAUAGCAUCUGCUAAAUGCCCGAGUUUGCGAUCUGCUUUGGUGAAGAGUCUUCAUGCUACUGAAAUUGCUCAUUUUCAAAGUAUUGAAGGAAGAGCCUCUUAAGAACCUGAUGAGAACUUGUGCUUCUGGGGGGUUAUUACCUAAGGGGUGACUCAUUAAUUAGUGCAUCUGAUUAUAAAGUUAAGGCUCCUCAAAGGACACACCCACUGGGUGCUAACAGGCUGCGGUAAGGAUUUCCCAAGAAGAGCAGUAAUUUAGAAAGCAGUUUGUGGAAAUAUAUGCUAGGAAAAGGGGGCCUGGGCGCUCGCCAAGCCUGAUAGCCUUACUGUUCUGUCAAUACCCUUCUAAUGUCAGGACAAAGCCAAAAAGCUCCUUCCACUCUGGUUAAGCCCGGGCGUGACUCAUGGGAAGACAGCAAUAAGCCCUGCGUAAGUGGGGUCUGGAUCUGCCUUAGUGGGGCCGCAUCCAAGCCAGGGAGCCACCUCGCAGAGGCCUGAGAUUACCAAGAACCGUCCCUCAGCUGAGGGCCAUCCCUGGCCAGAUGCCAGGGCUCAGCCACAGCGGCCCAUUCUCGGUGCCAGCGGGGCAGCAGGGGCAGCCUGGAUCUUGGGGAAGCAGCUCAGAGAUUAGAGGGAGGCAUAACAGGACUCCACCUGGGCAGGAGGGAGCCACUGUGUGCGAGACCCUGCUGCAACCCAGCCCUUCUACCUGUGUGGUCCUGGAGAGGCGGCUGGCUGCUUACCGGGCACAGACACCAGGCAGGCAAUGAGCAGAACCGGGGAGUCGGGCUGCUCUUGGGGAAGAUCCAACCGCGAGGAGGGCAACGCUGAUCCAAAGCCGGGAAGCCAGAGCCAGUUUGCUCCAAGGAGAUGGGCUUCGUAGAUGGCUUUCACACCAUCUCAUUGUGUGCUCCAUCCCAACCUGCUCUUCCAUAUCCCUCCACAUCCGGACAGACUCCCAGCCCUUGUGUGAGACAUUGGCGCCUUUGCACACGUUGUCCCCCGGCCCUGGAGAGCGCUCCCCCGUCACCCCCACCUUCUAAAGACCCAGCUGCCCUCCAAGUGCAGCUAAGGCACCUCCUCCAAGAGUCCUUUGUGAUCGCCUGUGUCACUAGGACUGCCUGUCUCUUAAUGUUGCAACGCUGUGCGUUCUUUGCUUGGCCAUGGAGAUGCACAUAAUCUCUUUGAGGGAAACAUGGUAUUGCGUUCAUAUCCUGCCUCUUCAGGAUGGCGUUUUAUUUAUAGGAAACAUUUAAAGAGUGUUUGCUGGAUGGAAUAGAACUUUUCAGGGAGCAAUGUCUCGAUGAAUCUUCUGUUUCUAUUUUGUAUCCCCUUGUACCUUAAUUUGAUUGGACCCACUUGUGGGAACCCAAGACUGGGCUGGA
Long non-coding RNA from Sarcophilus harrisii (Tasmanian devil), 1754 nucleotides. RefSeq lists it as uncharacterized. The transcript has 3 exons. NCBI's taxonomy places the organism in Eukaryota, Metazoa, Chordata, Mammalia, Dasyuromorphia, Dasyuridae. The record is from RefSeq and is a predicted model, not a curated record.